This 71-nucleotide small RNA is filed under the name Salmonella enterica subsp. enterica serovar Heidelberg. RNAcentral describes it as "partial RtT sRNA". It matches the Rfam family "RtT RNA", at positions 1 to 70 of the family's 130-position model. From Rfam's summary of the family: This family represents a bacterial cis-regulatory element known as RtT RNA. The exact function of RtT is unknown although it is thought that it may be involved in changing the cellular response in relation to amino acid starvation. The record is from RNAcentral. Lineage: Bacteria; Pseudomonadati; Pseudomonadota; Gammaproteobacteria; Enterobacterales; Enterobacteriaceae. RNAcentral also lists the same sequence under 4 other names.
AUAUCUCUCUGUACGGGAAGGAUGAGAAGCUUCGACUAAGGUUCGAUUCGAGCGUCAGCGAGAAAGCGUUG